This 431-nucleotide ribosomal RNA is filed under the name uncultured soil bacterium. RNAcentral describes it as "bacterial SSU rRNA". It matches the Rfam family "Bacterial small subunit ribosomal RNA", at positions 26 to 455 of the family's 1533-position model. The record is from RNAcentral.
AGAAUGAACGUUGGCGGCGUGGAUUAGGCAUGCAAGUCGAACGAAUCCUUUGUAGCAAUACGAGGGGGAAGUGGCGAAAGGGGCAGUAAUGUUUGGGUAACCUACCCUGAGGUCGUGAAUAGCCUUCCUAACGGAAGGGUAAUGCAUGACGUUGUAUCGGAGGGGCAUCCCUCUGCUACCAAAGAAUUUCGCCUCGGGAGGGCCCAAAUGAUAUUAGCUAGUUGGUGGGUAACGCCACCAAGGCGAAGAUGUCUAGCGGGUGUGAGAGCACGACCCGCGCCGACUGGCACUGAGACACUGGCCAGACUCCUACGGGAGCUGCAGUCGAGGAUCUUUGGCAAUCGGACGCGAAGUCUAGACCAAGGCGACGCCGCGUGUGCGAUGAAGGUCCUUCGGGUUAGUAAGCGACGUCGGUCGGAGGGGAGGAACGG